Tigriopus californicus is the source of this 528-nucleotide long non-coding RNA. RefSeq lists it as uncharacterized. Lineage: Eukaryota; Metazoa; Arthropoda; Copepoda; Harpacticoida; Harpacticidae. The record is from RefSeq and is a predicted model, not a curated record. The transcript has 3 exons.
GAAAAUAUGAGACUCUGAAUCUGAUCGGAUCGAGUUUCCCUUGUCUAAGCGGGUUAGUUUAACUUGAGCUGCUUGCUCUUACGUAUACUUUCAAGUUGAGAAACAAGAGGAAGGUUUAGGUACCAGGCAGCCCAGACACUAACUAUGAAACUCGGAUUAAGAUGUUUGGAUACUUGAAACCAUCACCAAAGUAUACCAUAUUAUGUCAUGCAGUGUUAUUCGAAACAUGUCGGUGGUCUUUAUCGGGAUUUAGAUCUCGAAUAACGUAAAUCGAUAGCUACACAACCAACAACAUACUCCGUCCGGUCCUGAUUUUACUCCUUACCAUAUUCAUAAUCUAGGUGAGCGAAGUUCUCAUAGUCUGGAAUCGAAAUCGCCAAAAGAGUGUGGCAUUCAUUGUUCGUUUGCAAAACUUGUCUCUGACAUUUAUGCUUGUAAGCUGUCCAUUAAGUGAUUAAGGUCAUUUGGUGCUCUAACGAAUGGCCACUCUCAAGCCAUAAAAAAAGACCCCGACGACUCACCGAGCUG